CCUACGGGCGGCUGCAGUGGGGAAUAUUGCGCAAUGGGCGAAAGCCUGACGCAGCGACGCCGCGUGAGGGAUGAAGGUCUUCGGAUCGUAAACCUCUGUCAGCAGGGAAGAACGGUCACUGUGCUAAUCAGCAGUGAAUUGAUGGUACCUGCAAAGGAAGCACCGGCUAACUCCGGGCCAGCAGCCGCGGUAGUACGGAGGGUGCAAGCGUUAAUCGGAAUUACUGGGCGUAAAGGGCGCGUAGGCGGUAUGUCAAGUCAAGGGUGAAAUCCCUGGGCUCAACGUGGGAACUGCCUUUGAUACUGUCAGGCUAGAGAGUAGGAGCGGAAGGUGGAAUUCCUGGUGUAGGGGUGAAAUGCGUAGAUAUCAGGAGGAACACCGGUGGCGAAGGCGGCUAUCUGGCACAUUACUGACGUUGAGGAGCGAAAGCGUGGGUAGCAAACAGGAUUAGAUACCCUAGUAGUC
Molecule: ribosomal RNA, 465 nt
Filed under: uncultured bacterium
Lineage: Bacteria
Description: partial 16S ribosomal RNA
Rfam family: Bacterial small subunit ribosomal RNA
Source: RNAcentral